GGGGGGUUUACGGCUCCAUGCAAAAGCGGCAAUUAAACCAAGAAUUUUGAUAAUGGCAGUCAAAAUAAAAACAUAGCUUCAAGCAGUGGUCUCAACUUGAGGUUCAAUUUAUCAAAAGUCUGACUGAUUCAAACGUGACAUUAAGAGAGAGAUUUGUAAAGAGAAACUGGACAAUCAUAGUGAAACUUUUUUAUUUUCAUUAAAUAUAGAACUUUAGUGUUUCACAUCAGUCUCACCACCUUAUAGGAGCUGAUGGAGACCAGAAACGGAGCAAAAAGAGAAUGAAUAUUGGACCGACGACCUCAGAGCACACACAGGCGUGUUUGUUGCGUGUCAGUAGGGAGACGUGUGCUGUGCAGAGGACCCAGCUUUCACAGCUCGGACGGCCUGAAAAAAAUCACUUUUUAAAGAGAAGAAAAAGAAGCUGUGCAGCGUGCUUACACAGCUGCCCCGCUCAAUAAACGGCAAACAGCGAGCGAGGGUGGGCGAGGGAGGGCGAGGGCGGGCGAGGGCCGGGCAGCAUGCGCUCUGUCAUUGCGCUCUCCUUCCCUCACAGGAGCGAGUUUGUGAGUUGACGCCAACGAGCAGAAGUCCAUCACGAGGCUCCCUGGGGAAGUUCCCCCGGGUUCAUUGUUCAGGUGGUUUGCGCUCGGCACUGCGCGUCCGUGCGGAUCCGCGCGCCCGUGAGGAGAUGCCGAAGCACGAGGUGGAGCCAAAGGGCCAAAGUGUUCAAAUCCUUCAGCAGCUCUUACAGUUUUUUCACGUUUGAAUGUAGCUUAAAAUCACACAAUUAUCCAAACCGUGCACUCGAGGAGCGAAACUCGGCCCAGAUUUGCACCACUAAUGCAAAACAAUACACACACUGAAAAAAGCGUAA
Long non-coding RNA from Gasterosteus aculeatus aculeatus (three-spined stickleback), 877 nucleotides. Lineage: Eukaryota; Metazoa; Chordata; Actinopteri; Perciformes; Gasterosteidae. The record is from Ensembl.